This is a long non-coding RNA of Nicotiana tabacum (common tobacco), 3986 nucleotides long. RefSeq lists it as uncharacterized. Lineage: Eukaryota; Viridiplantae; Streptophyta; Magnoliopsida; Solanales; Solanaceae. The record is from RefSeq and is a predicted model, not a curated record.
AACCCAAAUAAUGAGCCCAGCCAACUCUAAACCCUACGCCUCUUCUCUCUCAUUCCAUUUUUUGGCCGAUUACAGCUCUUCUUCAACCAUGGCAGAAGCUUGCCUCGCCGAUUUUGCGUAAGUUCUUUGUCUCUCUUCAAAUCUCGUGACUCCUUUUUCUCUCUCUCUCUCGUCUGCAACAAGAUUUAGUCAAUACAAGAGGCUAAAAUACUUUUGAAGUUUCUGACCUUUGUCCAGAGAUAGUUGCUGGUGUAAAGAUUUUCUCUUUGAUUUCAAACGGCUAAUCUGUUCUUCAUAUACCGCCCGAGAAUCACUUCUCAAGGGGCCCUAACCUUUCUCUAUAAAUACUCUCUUUGGAUCUCAGCCGAAACCAGAGGUUGAAAAGGGACAAGAAACACCACUUUACAUUGUCAAAAUACUAAGUCUAGGAAGGAAUCCACCUCUGCUCGAACACUAUCAUUUGUACUCUCACCGUUAACUUUCUUCCUGUCUCGGUGAACUUUGGCCGUGACAGAUAUUCGAAUUCGUUCGGCUUGAAGUUCGGAUCUUUCGUUACAGGAGAGUAUAUUCGAGGCCAACGCCGACCUAGUUCACUGCCCCACAAACGGUCGGUUACUCCCAAACUCAAGCUUUCUUUCCUUACUGUUGGUAUGUGAUGCGCAAUGGUUCACUCUGUUAAAAUAGAAGUUAAAAUUUUGGUGUGUAGAAAUUAUGCCAUUAGGAAUUAACUUUCUGGUUGUAUAUUAAAAUAUUUGAUCGAUGAAUGUUUGACAAAAUGCUUAUAUGAAUACAUAAGUUUCAUCUCCGUGAUGUCAAUUCGUGAAUUUAGAUAUCACGUUUAGGAUCAUUAUGAUUGUUGGCACGCUGUUGGUGCACUGUUUGAUUGAAGACAUGCAUGAAGAUGUCCCAUACUCUUGAACUGUCAACUUGGAGUUAGUUUAGAAUUCUCUUUAAGUUCGCGCCGCAUAUCAUUUAGCAAGUUUAAUGAUGUGUUCUUUCUUGGUCUCUCUCUGUGGCAUAACGUGAAUAUUUCAUAUUCUCGACUUGAAACUAUAUUUAAAGAUAAUGAUACUAGUAUUUGAGGAGUUAACCGCUACGUGCUUGAGUUAACUUGUUGAGGUGUUGUUGUGCUUUCAAAUAGUAGAAAAGAUGAUUUUAGGAAUGACUAGAUGCCACGUUCUUCUAGGAUUCAAUAACUAAAGAGGUAAUUAAUCUUAUACGUUCAUAUUACUUUAAAAGAACUUUAAGUAUACCAUGUAGAGCUCAACUUGUGUGGGAUAACAAACAUGAAAAUGCACUUUAGAAAAAGAAGUAUAAUAGUUGUCGUUAAGAUAACAUUCUGUUACAUUGAUAUUGUAGUAAAGUUGUUUGUCUCAAAUUCAGUAUUUCACUUAAGAAUCUGUCAUUUUAUUUCAAGUAUAAAAUCUGAUACAUAUUUAAGCCCUUCUCUAUUAUGGGUGGUGCAUUGUAUGGAAGGUUCUUUAGUUUAUAAAUGGUUCAAAAUUGAAUGUGACAUUUCUUUCUUUAUUCUACUUACUGUCUAUAUUUACAAUGUCAAGAAUGAAAUUCUCCCCUCUAACUCUUUUAUUAUGAAAUUCUCCCCUCUAACUCUUUUAUUCUUUCUUUGUUUUACAUGAACAUUGGAGCCGAAGAGUUUUACUUUGAGACUCAACGACGCCGCUACCUCGCCAAGAUUGCACAUCCUCAUCCUUUACAACUUUUACAUCGUCUAGGCAGCAAAAAUACAGAGGGAGCCGACAUGGCUUUUAAUCCUUUCAUUCUACUUCAUUUAUGUUUUACCUGCUAUUGCUGUUCAUAUUUUGUUUUUCAGUUGUGCUUAGCCUGGACAUGUUAUGCAGUAACUAACUGUCAUUUGGCCAUUUAUGAAGUUGUUGCCUCUAGUUGAUAAUAAAUACACUGACUUUACACAGUACACACAGUAGAAUGUUUUAUCUAUGUUAGGAGUUUAAAAGCAGUUAGUUCUCACCACAACGUCCACUUCUUUGCUUUACUUCAUGCCUUGAUUUUCUUAAUACUUCUAAUUUAAGUGGAUUUUCCUAUCAGGUUUCCAAAUGAAUUCAAAUGAUGUGUCAGGUCACGUUUUUAGUCUUGAUCCAAGUAAAUCGAAAUACAUUUUCAAAGAAACGAACAAGUCCAAAUCAAUGUUCUUUAACGUACAAACACAAAUAUUCAACAUGACUUUUAAUGUGAAUCUGAGUCUCUUUUUUUUUUAAACAAAAGGAUUUUUACUUACGCUUAGCCUUAAUUAACUUUAGUCUGGUUGGUUAACCAUUUAAAAUGGAUCUUAAAGGGUGCCUUAAAAACCUUCCCUUUAGAUUAAUUGAAUCCUUUACCUAGAAUCUUUAGGUUAAGUAGAUCAUUAAUAGAGUUAUACUUUAUUAAUACGUUACUUAACUUUAGGUGUCCUAAUUCACCAUAAUUAAUUAGGUGACGACUCUUUAACUUUAAUCAAAUUACGAAAUUGCCUAUAUAUUGUACCUUACUUUCACCAGUUUAAAAUGUGGUAUAACACCUUUUAUUUGAUGCAUCAUGCUUGUGCAGGCCUUGGGGAUGGAGUGUCGAUGAGGCCAGCCCCUGCUGGUGAAAGGACACCUUAAAACCCGACAAGGGUAAGAAGAGGAAGAAGGACGCCACGGUCUCAUCUUUGACUGCUAUAGCAAGUCCUCUUACCGAGGACGAAGGUGAUGAUGAUGAUGAUGCAUGCCCUUUGGUACAAAGGGCGAGACGAGGCGAAGAUGCUUCGCAAGAUACAGAGCGGGAGGCCGCCGAAUCGGGGGCGACCGAUUUGGACCAGACUCGCUGAGGAGACCCUCGAUGAGGGCUUGGGGGGCUCGGGGACAGUCCCCGUGUCUCAAGUCGGACAUGACACAGUCCGCAUUGAUGAACCCGCUGUUGGUGACUCCGAAGGGCCUGAACCCGAAGCUUCUCGCGGAAAAGAUGAGGCCCUUAAAGAAAUUAACACUCUGAGUGGCCUUAAUUUGGGCCCUGCAUUUCACCGGGGGAGAUUAGGGAUGCUCAGGAUCAGGAUACCGCUGGCGCGGGGGCCUUUCACGGAGGGGGAGAUAUGCUCGAAGACCUCCUCAUCGGUAUUGACGAUAGUAUUGAUCUCGAUGCUCCCGGUGCCCUCGAGGAGGCGGAGAGGCUUCAGCAGCAAGCUAAGAAGAUGUACGACCAUGCCUUUUCUAGGCUCCAAAGUGAGCUUUCAUGCUGUUGGAAGGAGGUCAAAAAGCUUACCUCGGAGUUAAAAGAGUCGAGGACCUCCUCUCCCCGAAAGAAGGAAGAGUUGAGCAGGCUUCAGGCCAGUUUAGAGGGAGUGUGCUAGGAAAAGGCUGGCCUUGCUGAGCAGAUAGGGCAAAAGGAUUCCAUCGUGGGGCGACUUCAGGAAGAGGCCGCAACCAAGGAUGCGGAGAUCCUCGAGUUAAGAGGGCAAAAUGAGGCCGUGGCCUCAGAGAGGGAUAUUUUGUGGUCGGAGUUGGCAUCGACCUGGGAUCUUCUUCAAAGCGCCCAAAAGGAGGCUGCUGCACUAUCUGUGGCCAUGUCUGAGGCUGAAGAGGAUGCGUCUUCAUACAUGAAAGAUGUUGCUACUGCGAAUGAACAAGCCCGAGAAAUAUUGGGGAAAGCCAAGCAGAAGCUGGAUAUGGCCGUCGCUUACGCUCGUGCAGAGGCAAGGAGGCAAGUUAUCGGGGAAGCAAGCACUAAAGGCGCCGAUCUCUCAGCCGAGAUUGAGGAACCCCGAGGUUUGGAGAAAGAAUUGGCAUUCUCGAAUACUUUGGAUGGGGGUUCCGGAGAUGACCCGGAGAGCAGUGGCGGCGAAGAAUAGGCCCACGUCAUCUUUCAUUCUUUUUUAUGUAUGAACUUCUCGGGGGAAAAUGUCUUGCAAAGACGCCCCUUAUAAAUAUAUUUUUGGCCAUGUAAGAAAAUUUUUCUGCUUCAAGUCUUCGAAUUUAUUCUCAAUGGUUAUGUAA